GACGAACGCUGGCGGCGUGCUUAACACAUGCAAGUCGAACGAUGAAGCCUUCGGGUGGAUUAGUGGCGAACGGGUGAGUAACACGGGGGUGAUCUGCCCUGCACUUUGGGAUAACCCCGGGAAACCGGGGCUAAUACCGGGUAUGACCCUGCCGGGCAUCUGGUGGGGGGGAAAGCUUUUGCGGUCAGGGAUGGGCGCGCGGCCUAUCAGCUUUUUGGUGGGGUGAUGGCCUACCAAGGCGAUGACGGGUAGCCGGCCUGAGAGGGCGACCGGCCACACUGGGACUGAGACACGGCCCAGACUCCUACGGGAGGCAGCAGUGGGGAAUAUUGCACAAUGGGCGGAAGCCUGAUGCAGCGACGCCGCGUGAGGGAUGACGGCCUUCGGGUUGUAAACCUCUUUCGACAGGGACGAAGCGUGAGUGACGGUACCUGGAGAAGAAGCGCCGGCCAACUACGUGCCAGCCGCCGCCGUAA
Molecule: ribosomal RNA, 476 nt
Filed under: uncultured bacterium
Lineage: Bacteria
Description: partial 16S ribosomal RNA
Rfam family: Bacterial small subunit ribosomal RNA
Source: RNAcentral